GGCCUAACACAUGCAGUCGAGCGGAGACGGAAGCUUGCUCCUUGAUUCAGCGGCGGACGGGUGAGAAAAGGCUAGGAAUCUGCCUGGUAGUGGGGGACAACGUUUCGAAAGGAACGCUAAUACCGCAUACGUCCUACGGGAGAAAGCAGGGGACCUUCGGGCCUUGCGCUAUCAGAUGAGCCUAGGUCGGAUUAGCUAGUUGGUGGGGUAAUGGCUCACCAAGGCGACGAUCCGUAACUGGUCUGAGAGGAUGAUCAGUCACACUGGAACUGAGACACGGUCCAGACUCCUACGGGAGGCAGCAGUGGGGAAUAUUGGACAAUGGGCGAAAGCCUGAUCCAGCCAUGCCGCGUGUGUGAAGAAGGUCUUCGGAUUGUAAAGCACUUUAAGUUGGGAGGAAGGGCAGUAAGUUAAUAUCUUGUUGUUUUGACGUUACCGACAGAAUAAGCACCGGCUAACUCUGUGCCAGCAGCCGCGGUAAUACAGAGGGUGCAAGCGUUAAUCGGAAUUACUGGGCGUAAAGCGCGCGUAGGUGGUUCGUUAAGUUGGAUGUGAAAGCCCCGGGCUCAACCUGGGAACUGCAUCCAAAACUGGCAAGCUAGAGUACGGUAGAGGGUGGUGGAAUUUCCUGUGUAGCGGUGAAAUGCGUAGAUAUAGGAAGGAACACCAGUGGCGAAGGCGACCACCUGGACUGAUACUGACACUGAGGUGCGAAAGCGUGGGGAGCAAACAGGAUUAGAUACCCUGGUAGUCCACGCCGUAAACGAUGUCAACUAGCCGUUGGAAUCCUUGAGAUUUUAGUGGCGCAGCUAACGCAUUAAGUUGACCGCCUGGGGAGUACGGCCGCAAGGUUAAAACUCAAAUGAAUUGACGGGGGCCCGCACAAGCGGUGGAGCAUGUGGUUAAAUUCGAAGCAACGCGAAGAACCUUACCAGGCCUUGACAUGCAGAGAACUUUCCAGAGAUGGAUUGGUGCCUUCGGGAACUCUGACACAGGUGCUGCAUGCUGUCGUCAGCUCGUGUCGUGAGAAUUGUGGUAGUCCGUAACGAGCGCAACCC
RNAcentral lists this ribosomal RNA (1058 nucleotides) under Pseudomonas sp. AMF1080. RNAcentral's name for it is "bacterial SSU rRNA". It matches the Rfam family "Bacterial small subunit ribosomal RNA", at positions 45 to 1104 of the family's 1533-position model. The record is from RNAcentral. Lineage: Bacteria; Pseudomonadati; Pseudomonadota; Gammaproteobacteria; Pseudomonadales; Pseudomonadaceae.